Molecule: ribosomal RNA, 229 nt
Filed under: uncultured bacterium
Lineage: Bacteria
Description: partial 16S ribosomal RNA
Rfam family: Bacterial small subunit ribosomal RNA
Source: RNAcentral
UGCGUAGGCGGAUAAAUAAGUCAGUGGUGAAAGCCUGCAGCUUAACUGUAGAAUUGCCAUUGAUACUGUUUAUCUUGAAUAUAGUUGAGGUGGGCGGAAUAUGACAUGUAGUGGUGAAAUACUUAGAUAUGUCAUAGAACACCGAUUGCGAAGGCAGCUCACUAAGCUAUGAUUGACGCUGAGGCACGAAAGCGUGGGGAGCAAACAGGAUUAGAUACCCUGGUAGUCC